Molecule: long non-coding RNA, 1170 nt
Filed under: Sus scrofa (pig)
Lineage: Eukaryota; Metazoa; Chordata; Mammalia; Artiodactyla; Suidae
Description: lncRNA (ENSSSCG00065054389.1)
Source: RNAcentral
GGGAGGAGUAAGCUGACUUUUUGAAAGGGGAGCGUUGGAGACCGGAUCCUGGGCGGAGUUUACAAAUGGACACACAAAUGGAUUUGGAUAUAUGACACCAAGAUCAAAUUGAACAUGGCCAAGUAACUGACCUAUAAGGAACAUGUGCUGGAAAGAACAUGAGCUAAAAACUACUGUCUGUGAUAGAAAUUACAGGAUCAAUGAUUCUCUCAAGACUUAUGUGUAGUCCUCAAAGCCAUCCGCAAGUUGUAGAAGAUACCUAAGCUGUUUGCUUGGCUGCUUCCCACUUCCUGGCAAAGUACUCCUUCUGGAAUUUGUCUCUCUCCAAGCUGAGAGGGGAGAUACAGCUAGCAGAAGUAUACUCACCUCAUCGCCACCUAGUGAGAAGAACGGUGUCGAAACGUAUCGAAGGUGUUGGAGGAAGUUGAGAAGAUGUGACCUCUGGCUGACCUGCUGGCUGGACUGGCAAGUCGAGGCCCUUCACCCUCUCGCUUGUCCUUGAAAUGUAUCCUCUGCCCACAAUGGGAGCCAUGUUCAAGGUCACAGCCUUGAGAGAGUAAGGUGCUGGGACCAUCUGGACUGAAUAUGUGACUCAAUUCAGGGCAUACCUGCGGCAUUUGAAAGUUCCCAGGCUAGUGGUUGAAUCAGAGCUGCAGCUGCCAGCGUACACCACAGCCACAGCAAUGCUGGAUCCAAGCCGCGUCUGCAACCUACACCACAGCUCAAGGCAAUGUCGGAUCCUUACCCUACUGAGUGAGACCAAGGAUCAAACCUGCAUCCUCAUGGAUACAAGUCGGGCUCAUUACCCCUGAGCCACAGCAGAAACUCCCAGGCAAGUGAUUCUUGAUACAGGUUUUUCAAGUGGGAAAUGUCAAUUUAUGCAUAGACUUGUAAUUAUUCUGUCUGACCACAUUCCAUUCCUUUUGCAAGGUAAAACAUCAUAAUUGAUGGAGAAAACUCAGAUCACAGUACAAGGCUUAUGGAGACUACAGAUACAGAGGCUAAGCUGGGUGGACAUAAGCAGGAAAGGACAUCUUAGACCUACAAUUGUUGACCUCUCUUUAUCAAGGUGGACACAACUUGUUCCGGCAUUUCUGAUCAUCAAGAGGCACUUUGUCAUCAAAGGGUGCUCUUCUUCCAAGAUGCUGUAACAAUUUUGAGUAUGAUCUU